GCGGGGGCACUGGGGGACUCCUACGGGAGGCAGCAGUAGGGAAUCUUCCACAAUGGACGCAAGUCUGAUGGAGCAACGCCGCGUGAGUGAAGAAGGCUUUCGGGUCGUAAAACUCUGUUGUUAGAGAAGAACGUCGGCAGAGUAACUGUUCAUGCAGUGACGGACCAACCAGAAACGCCCGACCAUGC
Molecule: ribosomal RNA, 188 nt
Filed under: Lacticaseibacillus casei
Lineage: Bacteria; Bacillati; Bacillota; Bacilli; Lactobacillales; Lactobacillaceae
Description: Lactobacillus casei partial 16S ribosomal RNA
Rfam family: Bacterial small subunit ribosomal RNA
Source: RNAcentral